UACGUAGGGACCAAGCGUUGUUCGGAUUUACUGGGCGUAAAGGGCGCGUAGGCGGCGUGGUAAGUCACUUGUGAAAUCUCCGAGCUUAACUCGGAACGGUCAAGUGAUACUGCUGUGCUAGAGUGCAGAAGGGGCAAUCGGAAUUCUUGGUGUAGCGGUGAAAUGCGUAGAUAUCAAGAGGAACACCUGAGGUGAAGACGGGUUGCUGGGCUGACACUGACGCUGAGGCGCGAAAGCCAGGGGAGCGAACGGG
Molecule: ribosomal RNA, 253 nt
Filed under: uncultured bacterium
Lineage: Bacteria
Description: partial 16S ribosomal RNA
Rfam family: Bacterial small subunit ribosomal RNA
Source: RNAcentral